Molecule: long non-coding RNA, 1120 nt
Filed under: Spirodela polyrhiza (greater duckweed)
Lineage: Eukaryota; Viridiplantae; Streptophyta; Magnoliopsida; Alismatales; Araceae
Description: long non-coding RNA (SPOL_LNC002137)
Source: RNAcentral
UUCCUCCAUAUUCAACAGCUGCAGCAGUUGAAAGGCAAGGAACAAGCAGGUAUUAUAUUGAUGCUCCAUAUUUAGCAGCAGUAAGACUAGUAAGAAAACGCCUUUUUCAUGUAAUAUUCUAGAGCAUACCUUGGCAAGCCUUUCCUUGAAGUCCAGCCACUUUUUUCUUCUGUCAUCAUCCAGACUAUCGCCAAAAGUAAAUCCAUGCACUCGUUGAAGGUCUGAAAAAUCGAAGUUGCUGGAAUUUUGAUCUCCAUAACGGAAUAAUUUUAAUAAUGAAAAAUACUUCUUUAUGAUCACCAUCAAUGUUCGAAGGGUUAUUUUUGCAGUAUGCUUCUAUGCAAUAUCACCAAUAUUCGGAAUAACACUGGAGGUUUUGGUAUCAUAAUCAUCCUUUGAUUGGGUUAAGAAUAGCCUUGUAGUAACUAAUACAAAAAGAAAUCUGUGGUUAUGAUGAGGGGCCCACUCCACUCGAUAAAAUUAAGAUGGGCAUCAGAGCUAAAAGUUAUUCUUAAACUGCACUUUAAUGUCAUUGUCCACAUGACAAUGACAUUAAUAGUUUUUUUGUACUGGUUAAUACAAAAAAAAACUAUUCAUUGUUAAUCGGUGUCCCCUCUAAAUCGUUAAGAAAAGAAAUCUGUGGUUGCGAAUGAUUUGUCUUGACUCCACCGUGUUCUUUUGCAGAAAAUCUGUUCCCAGGAACUGGUCAAUUUAUCAUCCGCCGAAGUCAACUGGCCACUUUAUGGGGCAAAUUCUGCAGCAAAAACUCAGUUCUAAACUGUUUAGGAGUCAAAAUGACCUCCAAGCUACGGUCACUGUAUGCUCCAAGUCCCUAGGAUGAUCCAUAGAAUAUCUCGCGCCUCAACCAGGAAAUGAGGGGAAAUAAAAAAAAUAAAGAUAACCACUCAGAUUGGCAUUAAAAGUGUAUUGAUGUUCAAUGUUGGCAUGAUGUUAUAAUUUAUUUGACAAAAUCAUUCGAUACUGAUUGUGUUGUCAACUCCAUAAGAAGGCCAUUUUAGGAUAUUCAUGAAAGAGUGCCCGAGUUUGGAUUUGAAGCAUAUUUCUGAUGAGCUAGAACCCAAAAUCUAGAGGUUGCGAGGGUUGAGCAAGGGAUGUCUUC